RNAcentral lists this ribosomal RNA (492 nucleotides) under uncultured bacterium. RNAcentral's name for it is "partial 16S ribosomal RNA". It matches the Rfam family "Bacterial small subunit ribosomal RNA", at positions 29 to 507 of the family's 1533-position model. The record is from RNAcentral.
AGUGAACGCUGGCGGUAGGCCUAACACAUGCAAGUCGAACGGCAGCACAGUAAGAGCUUGCUCUUACGGGUGGCGAGUGGCGGACGGGUGAGGAAUACAUCGGAAUCUACUUUUUCGUGGGGGAUAACGUAGGGAAACUUACGCUAAUACCGCAUACGACCUCCGGGUGAAAGCCGGGGAUCUUCGGACCUUGCGCGAUUGAAUGAGCCGAUGUCGGAUUAGCUAGUUGGCGGGGUAAAGGCCCACCAAGGCGACGAUCCGUAGCUGGUCUGAGAGGAUGAUCAGCCACACUGGAACUGAGACACGGUCCAGACUCCGACGGGAGGCAGCAGUGGGGAAUAUUGGACAAUGGGCGCAAGCCUGAUCCAGCCAUACUGCGUGGGUGAAGAAGGCCUUCGGGUUGUAAAGCCCUUUUGUUGGGAAAGAAAAGCAGCAGGUUAAUACCCCGCUGUUCUGACGGUACCCAAAGAAUAAGCACCGGCUAACUUCGUG